GUGAGGUAUGAUUUAAAGGACUAGAACAUCUUUCCUGCUUCCCUCCAAAAUGCUUCACUGUGUUUUGUCAUAUUGCCUGAUAAUUUUGCAUUAGAGAUUUAUCCUUUUGAGAUAUAAAAUGCAGAUAUCUCUGAAAGGGUUUCUUCUGCUUUAGUCAUAUUCAUAACGGCUACUAGUGAACAAAAUAUGUUCACUACAGGAUGAAGGGAAGAUUGCCAACUAGCAAAUCCCUAGGGUCAGUACUGCACCAGAUGUUGCCUAGCAAUUUCCACAAUUUUCUCAGUCUAGUUUGCAAGAAUAAAGAGACUAGAAAUCAAAGAGGUAUGUCACAUAAAGUUGUAAAAUUAGUAUUUAGUCUGUGUAUCCUUUCUGUAUUGAUUUAAAAACAAAGAAAAUAGAAGGUUAUUAGGUGAGUUUGGCAUGGUUUAAUUGAGUUUGGUGGUUUUUCCCUAGGAUUUUUAAAGCCAAAAUUUGAAUGAGGUACAACAUCCAGUUGUGUGAAAAUCUGAGGGAGGGACUUUUCAGGCAGGGUAAAAGGAAGUAUCUAGGUCCCAAGGUGGUAAAGAACUGGACAGGAUGGAGACUAGGUAAUUUUCACUUUCAUUAUUUUAUGCAUUCAAUUAUGCUACCACGUAGGUUAGUCGCUAAGGCCUUCUACAAGUUGAACCUUGCUUAAAAUUUAAUUCUUUUCUUACCCCUUCUCACCAUGUUCCAGGCUAUUCUGUACCUCUGUGACUUUGUUUGAUAGUUGUUUCUUUUGCUUAAUAGCCUCUCAUUUAUUCAGUCUUGCCAGAUAAACUGUGACUCAUCUCUUAAAAUCCACUUCAAGCAUUCUUUUGAGGAAGCUUCUCACUAUUUGCUGCCCACCAUCCAUAGAAUUGCUCAGCCUUUGUGCUUCUAUUGAUUUAUGCACUUGAGACACUGCUUUGUAAUUACUUAUUUACAUGUCUGCUUUUAUCACCAGUAAGUUUCUUUAGGACAGAGACAUUAUUAAUUCAUAUCUGGGUACCUAUGGUCCAGCAUAGUAGUAGUACUACAUAGAACAUAGUACUAGUAGUAUUUAAUAGAUACUCAAAUCAUUGUUCAGUGAGUGAAUGCAUGAGAUAUCUUUUUGCUGUUAUGAUUUAACUAAAGUAACAUUGCUCUUCAGAACAGUUUCCAUGACAUAUUUAUUCUAGUUAAUAGCCAUAAAUUAACUCUACACUACAGCCAUAGUCUAUAGUCACUAGAUCAUUUAUCAUUAUGUCAUUUCAAAACAGUAAAAUGUUCAGUAUUAUCCUUCAUAUUCAAACUGUGCUCAUGGAAAUAUUGUGAAAAGAUUGAAUAAUUUUUGACACACAGUUUUCAGUUUUUCCACUUAGCACACUUUAGUAGACUUUCAGCCUUUUAAAUAUGCUAGCAUUGAGAACCAGGUACUACUUAAUGAAAAUCAUGAUUUAAUAGUGUGUUUUAUGUGGUUUGUUUGUUUCUCUUUGUAAGUUAGAGUGGUAGAGUUAUGUUUGAGGCAUUCAUUACAUUUUAUUUACAAGAACUCAAUGUUCUUUUUUGUAACCUGAGGGCUUUUUCAAUUCCUAAAAGCCUAGCAGAAGUCAAGUAGCUGGAUGACAAGCUGGGAGGGAGAAAUUAUGGGGGAUGUAGCAAGAAAUAGAAGGAGGAUGCAGACCAUUUGACAGGCCAAGUCAAAGGUAGUUUCUGUCAGGGAACAAUUACAGCAUCAUACUUUAAGAGAUGACAGAAAAACGACAUUAACGUAACCAUGCAAAAUUGGAAAUACAUAUUUGGAGCAUUAUUUUCCCCAGAAAGUUUCCAAUGCAUUGGUACUUGCUCAGUGUCUAAGGAGAUAAGUGUCUAAGUGACUGGCAUUUGUUCCAGGCUUUAUCCGUCGUCAUGAAGAGGCUUUUCACCUGCAGGUUCUCCUUGAAGCUAUUGGUGAUACAGUCACACAAUAACACAUUUACUAAAUGAACUAAGCAAAUGAAUAAAACUGUAAGCCCUUAGUAUCAGUCCCUUUAUUUAUUUAUUUUUAAAGUUUGUGUCAGUAUGAACUAGAUUCUUAUUUAAUGGAUUAGAAUACUGAUAUUAUUUAUUUUCAUGCUCAAAUUUUCCCAGAAUUGGCCCAUAGGAGCUCCUUCAAGAUGGUUCAGUUAGCCUUUUAAUGCGUCCCCCUGGUUAUUUGAACACUUUCUUGCUCCCUGAUAUGACAAAAUGUUUCAAAUCUCCCCCCUCCAAUGAACUCUAUUUUUUUUUAAGUGAAGAACAGUAUUUAAAAAAUGAGGAUAUAGUGAUUUGUCUUGUUUGUUGUCAUUGGUAGGCCAUUUCUUCUAAGCUCUUUCAAUGGAAAGACCUAGGAAAUGUAUAUAGAGAUAUUUCAAAUAUAUUUAUAUGAAAUAUAUUAAAUAUACAAGAAAAAAACUCAAAUCAUCAGCUUAUUAUGAACAGAACAUUAACAUUUUUGAAGGAAAAUAUUUGUUAUCUACAUAGAAAAGGUCCAGAAAAUAAUAACAUUGAUCUUGAACAAAGUACACGCAAGUAGAUUUCAUUAAUAGCUAAAAAUAAUGCAUCUUAGAAUCUUAGCUAUUGGGGGGAGACAGUAUCUAGAACUGUGAUGUAGAAUUUAUGUGGUAGACCCUUGCAGUGUUAUUUUGGAUCUCUGUGGAAUAGAAAAAUAAGAUCAGGGGACAAAAGCUUGCCCUAGUCCUUCCCAGUACUUUUAACUACAUGGAGAAAAGAUGUUGAGCAUUCAUUACAAUCAGAAUCUUUAAAUGGCUACAUAUUUGUGAGAGGUGUAUAAACAAACAAGGAAGUAAUGACACUAACUACAUGGGAAUGAUACUAGUGUCUUCUCUUGGAUAACUACUAUAGCUAUAGAUGCAAUGCUAACCGUUGCACUUAGCAACAACUUGACUAUUAUUUGGCUACUAACAUGAAUAACUUCUUAGAAGUUGAGGAGGAGCUGUAAACAUCUAAGUAAUCAGAAUUUGCAUCAUAAAAUCCUGAACUGCGAAUCCAAAUUCUUAUAGAGUUUUCUCCCAGCACAUCAUGGAGGACUUUUCUCUAAUAAUCUGGCUCUCCUAUUACACUGAAAACCAGAGCUUCUCUAUUUGGCUUACUAAUUCCAAAGAUUAAAUCAUUAGAGGUAGGAGCUUAUUUUUACUGAUGUAUUUGCUUUUCUAGAAAAAUUAAUUAUAGUCUGAUAAAGUUUGUUUUAUGUAGCAUAAUAAAACAAAGAUUCUCAUUUUAAUAUACACUUGCUAAUUAUUGCAUUUAGUAAUUUAAUGACCUGAAAAUAAUGUAAAAAAAUGUGUGUUUUCAUAUAAUACUUAUGUUAUUUUUAACUUAAGAAGUCAUAAAAAAUAACAUAAAUACAUGAAGAAGCCACAGCUAUAACAACAACAAAAAAAAAAACAAUUUGACCAGUGUUAGAAGGCAAAAUUAACUAACAGUUAUUAAGGAGUUACUAUGUACUAUAAACCACAUGUUUUGCAUUUGUUUAAUCAUCAAACAAUACAAUUACUAGAACUGUUUUAUCCCCAUUUUAUAGUAGAAGAAACUGGAUUACAUAUCUUAUUAAACUUGGUCAACUUCUUGAAACUUGUAACUAAUACAUUAUCAAAAUAGAACUCAAACCCACAAACCCACCUUAGAUCCCAUUCUCUUUUGAGUGAAUUACAUAAAGCUUCGCAUAAAAUGCAUCACAUAAAUCACACUACCCCUGGCCAGUAACAGUUUUGCUAAAUUGAUUAUUUUCCUUUUUGUCUGUAAAAAAAGGAUGUUGCUCUGUCUUACCCAUUCUCAAUGAUUUAAAUAAUCAAUAAAUGUGUUCACCACAUAGAAUAGUUUUUUUUUGUUGUUCUAUAUUCAUGACUGCAAAAUAACUAUGACAGUUAUACUUUGAACUUAAUUUUGGUGUUAUUUGUUAAAACACAUCUGUAUACAUCUGAAAAAUACCAGUUGUGGCAACAUAGAGAGCUUAGUUUUGAAAAAUAAGUUAAAUUAUAACUGAAAAUGAACCAAAGAUGCAUAGAGAAGGUGUGGACCACACAUAUGUGGGUAAAAGCUGGCCCACAGUCAUCUUAAAUGGAUUUUAUCCAGAAGGGCUGCCUAAGAGACCACAGGAUACCAACAGAGAGGGUCUGUGAAGAGAUGGACUGCUGAGACCCAAAUCACAGUGAAGUAUAGUUGAGAGAUGUCUACUAAUGAAUGGGGAAAGGAGUAAAUACUCUGAAGAACCCUGCAAGGAAAUGAAACACCCUGCAAGGGAAAAAGACCGAGUCAGCUUUGUCACCUGUCAAACCAGAGAGCAAUCAAUGAUGGCAGCUCACAAAAAUACAAGCAUGCAGGAGCUUUCCAGUGCCCUAACGUCUCCUCCCUCCACCAUCCUGAAACCUGAUGUGGUCAGAAACAGUGCUAAUUAGCAAUUAAAGAGAGGAAGAAAGACAAGUUCAGAAAAUAGAGGAGUAUCUAUCCAAGCCAUACUGUAUUCUACAGGCUGCCUUCGCUUGCAUGGCUGAUUAGCCUACAGCACAACUGAAGAGAGGGAGGCCGUCUUGUCUCCAUGAUUGCACAAACAUGAAGAUAAAAGCUUCCCUGUGAGGAUGAUGGAGCAAAAUGAUACAAGGGGCCCAGACUCCCUUCCUUCAGACUUCUUGUUAUGUGUGGGAAAUAAAAUGAUAUUACAAGGUUAA
This is a non-coding RNA of Vicugna pacos (alpaca), 4685 nucleotides long. NCBI's taxonomy places the organism in Eukaryota, Metazoa, Chordata, Mammalia, Artiodactyla, Camelidae. The record is from RefSeq and is a predicted model, not a curated record.